Molecule: ribosomal RNA, 253 nt
Filed under: uncultured bacterium
Lineage: Bacteria
Description: partial 16S ribosomal RNA
Rfam family: Bacterial small subunit ribosomal RNA
Source: RNAcentral
UACGAAGGGGGCUAGCAUUGCUCGGAAUCACUGGGCGUAAAGCGCACGUAGGCGGUCUUUUAAGUCAGGGGUGAAAUCCUGGAGCUCAACUCCAGAACUGCCUUUGAUACUGAGAGGCUUGAGUCCGGGAGAGGUGAGUGGAACUGCGAGUGUAGAGGUGAAAUUCGUAGAUAUUCGCAAGAACACCAGUGGCGAAGGCGGCUCACUGGCCCGGUACUGACGCUGAGGCACGAAAGCGUGGGGAGCAAACAGG